Molecule: long non-coding RNA, 609 nt
Organism: Rosa chinensis
Lineage: Eukaryota; Viridiplantae; Streptophyta; Magnoliopsida; Rosales; Rosaceae
Exons: 3
Source: RefSeq, a predicted model, not a curated record
GCCACAAUGAGAGAUCAUGUCAUAGGCACUUGCCUCCCAAGCCAAAAGCAACCAAUCUGAACAAGAGAAAAAGGAACAAUGAAGAGGCAAGAACAUCUGGAAAUUAGGGUACUAGUAAGAAAAAGCCUCCCUUGACAAAGAAUGAGUUAAAGCAGAAGAAAAAGAGGGAUGAGAAGAAGGCUGCCAUAGCUAGAGCUGCUCCUACAAAUGCAAGAGAUACUCAUUCUGCAAAUGCAAGAGUUGCACCUUCCACAAAUGCAUGAGCUGCUGCUUCAAGCUCUCAAGCUGCUCCUUCAAGCUCCAAAGCAACUGCUACAAAAGGUAAAACUCUUGAAUCAUUUUAGGCUGAGAAAUGUGGAUUAGAUUUUCUAGCAGCAGUUAUAAAUCAGUUUAUAACAAUGAAAACGAAAUCAAUAAGAACUAAUACAUCAGUUCUAAAAGAAAAAAUCGAUUCUCAUUAGCCAGUGGAUAUUGAAAUAUUAUGACAGAAUCGAUGUCCCAAAAUCUAGUGCACAUUGAAUUAUAAUAUAAUGAUCGAAGUUCUAUAUAUGAUUGGACAUCAAUACAAUUUCAAUAAACGAUGUCCUCGGAGUUACUAGACAUCGUUAU